GUUUUUACCAGGCCUAUACUGAAACAAACUACUCAAUAUCGGUAUAAAUGUCGGACAAAUUUGUUGCCUUCUACUGGUGUUACCUGUCAAAAAACCUGUCAUAACACAAUUUAAAAAGUUUUUACCAGGCCUAUACUGAAACAAACUACUCAAUAUCGGUAUAAAUGUCGGACAAAUUUGAUGUCUUCUACUAGUGUUACCUGUCAAAAAUCUGUCAUAACACAAUUUAAAGUGUUUACCAGGUAUAUACUGAAACAAACUACUCAAUAUCGUUAUGAAUGUCGGACAAACUUGAUGUCUUCUACUAGUGUUACCUGUCAAAAACCUGUCAUAACA
This 336-nucleotide small RNA is filed under the name Drosophila virilis. RNAcentral's name for it is "GJ26738". Lineage: Eukaryota; Metazoa; Arthropoda; Insecta; Diptera; Drosophilidae. The record is from RNAcentral.